AUGCUCACCGUGAAGAUGUUCGACAACACCAUGUGCCGCAUGUACUACCAGCACGACGACGAUGCCAGCAAUGGGAGCAGUAGCGGGGAUGACGAGGAGCGGAGCGGGGAUGACGAGGAGCAGAGCGGGGAUGACGAGGAGCAGCCUAUUCUAGCUGACGACGACCCUGCUAUGGUGGUGGCGGAUGACGACCUUGCUAUGGUGGUGGCUGACGACGACCCUGCUAUGGUGGUGGCGGACGACGACCUUGCUAUGGUGGCUGACGACGACCUCACGAUUGUGGUGCCUAAUGAUGACCUCGCAAUGGUGGUGCCUGACAAUGACCUCGUGAUGGUGGUGGCGCCUGCAAUCGGAUAG
RNAcentral lists this ribosomal RNA (357 nucleotides) under Triticum aestivum (bread wheat). RNAcentral's name for it is "partial small subunit ribosomal RNA". Lineage: Eukaryota; Viridiplantae; Streptophyta; Magnoliopsida; Poales; Poaceae. The record is from RNAcentral.